CGCGUAGGUGGUUCGAUAAGUCGGGUGUGAAAGCCCCGGGCUCAACCUGGGAAUUGCAUUCGAAACUGUCGGGCUAGAGUAUGGUAGAGGGGGGUAGAAUUCCCGGUGUAGCGGUGAAAUGCGUAGAUAUCGGGAGGAAUACCAGUGGCGAAGGCGGCCCCCUGGACCAAUACUGACGCUGAGGUGCGAAAGCGUGGGGAGCAAACA
This 207-nucleotide ribosomal RNA is filed under the name uncultured bacterium. Its description in RNAcentral is "partial 16S ribosomal RNA". It matches the Rfam family "Bacterial small subunit ribosomal RNA", at positions 568 to 774 of the family's 1533-position model. The record is from RNAcentral.